GUCAGUUCAUAAGUCUCUCCAAGGAUAGGAUUAAAAGGCUUCCAGGUCCUUUGAUAAGCAUAAUACACUGAUAUAGCCCAUGAUGAUGCAUACACCAACCGCAUAUAAGGAUCCUCACAUUCAUCCGCCAGAUUCAACAAGUGGGAGUAUUCCAUUAACUCAGCCAUUUUCUGAAUCAUUGUCAUUGGUUCAAAAAUGAUUACAGGAAGAGUGACCAUUGAUGUGACAUCUGAACCAAUAUACUUGUGCAUCAUCUUCCAGUAACUUUCACGAUCCUCUUGUUUCCAUCUUCCUUUCUGAGCUUCCUCUUCUGCAUCUUCUUUGCCUCCUUCAGGAUUUAUAACUUCAACCCCUUCAUAACCAAGAAACCCAUUAACAGAUCGGUGCAUGGCGUUGCUAAGCUUGGAAAUUCCAGAAGUCAUGGCAGCAAAGAAACCCCCUUUAGUGUCA
Molecule: unclassified non-coding RNA, 450 nt
Filed under: Hevea brasiliensis (rubber tree)
Lineage: Eukaryota; Viridiplantae; Streptophyta; Magnoliopsida; Malpighiales; Euphorbiaceae
Source: RNAcentral